CUGUGGAAAAUUUAUCGGAUGUUACGAGAUAAGUAGAGAGUGAGAUUUGAUUGAUGUGAGAGAGAAAAGAAAGGAUAGGAAUGCAUUUAUUAGAGUGCCAAGUGUCAAUUUUCCAUUGGUUUGACUUUAAGAGUUACUAUUCACUAUUUUGACCUUUGACCAAAAUUGGUUAAAUAUCUCCAAAAAUUCACAAAAUUCACCAUUUUCUUCCCUUGUGUUGGCCGAACCUCUCAUCAAAGAAGAAAGAAAAACUCUUCCAAGUUUAAGCUUCCAACAAGCUCAAAUCACCCAACUCAAGUCCUUAAACUAGAAUCUACUCCAUGAAAUUCCUUCCUUUGGUGCUCUUGAGUGUAUUAGUGAAGUUGAUUUGAAGAGC
RNAcentral lists this long non-coding RNA (376 nucleotides) under Coffea arabica (coffee). RNAcentral describes it as "long non-coding RNA (CARA_LNC006885)". Lineage: Eukaryota; Viridiplantae; Streptophyta; Magnoliopsida; Gentianales; Rubiaceae. The record is from RNAcentral.